CCGGCGCACGGGUGAGUAACACGUAUCCAACCUGCCGUCUACUCUUGGACAGCCUUCUGAAAGGAAGAUUAAUACAAGAUGGCAUCAUGAGUCCGCAUGUUCACAUGAUUAAAGGUAUUCCGGUAGACGAUGGGGUGCGUUCCAUUAGAUAGUAGGCGGGGUAACGGCCCACCUAGUCUUCGAUGGAUAGGGGUUCUGAGAGGAAGGUCCCCCACAUUGGAACUGAGACACGGUCCAA
Molecule: ribosomal RNA, 238 nt
Filed under: uncultured bacterium
Lineage: Bacteria
Description: partial 16S ribosomal RNA
Rfam family: Bacterial small subunit ribosomal RNA
Source: RNAcentral